This 450-nucleotide ribosomal RNA is filed under the name uncultured Gigaspora. RNAcentral's name for it is "SSU rRNA". It matches the Rfam family "Eukaryotic small subunit ribosomal RNA", at positions 569 to 1027 of the family's 1831-position model. The record is from RNAcentral. Lineage: Eukaryota; Fungi; Glomeromycota; Glomeromycetes; Diversisporales; Gigasporaceae.
AGCAGCCGCGGUAAUUCCAGCUCCAAUAGCGUAUAUUAAAGUUGUUGCAGUUAAAAAGCUCGUAGUUGAAUUUCGGGGUUCUACCGUUGGUCGGGCAAUUGUCUGUACUGGCGUGUGGAAUUUCUACCUUCUGGGGAACCAUCAUGUUAUUAAUUUAGCGUGGUGGGAAACCAGGACCUUUACCUUGAAAAAUUAGAGUGUUCAAAGCAGGCUUACGUCUGAAUACAUUAGCAUGGAAUAAUAAAAUAGGACGGUGGUCCUGUUUUGUUGGUUUCUGAAUCACCGUAAUGAUUAAUAGGGAUAGUUGGGGGCAUUAGUAUUCAAUUGUCAGAGGUGAAAUUCUUGGAUUUAUUGAAGACUAACUUCUGCGAAAGCAUUUGCCAAGGAUGUUUUCAUUAAUCAAGAACGAAAGUUAGGGGAUCGAAGACGAUCAGAUACCGUCGUAGUCUU